CUAGUUUUCGAACUUGCAGAUAUAAAAGUUUGGGUUUAACGUGGGGGUUUCAAGGAGCUCCAUUCAGUCCAAUAAAGAGGGCAAAGGAGCGGUUAGAGCUGCCGCCUCAUGCAGUAGGCUAGCCUUAUUAUUUCUUUUCAGUGCGUGGUGACUAUAGUGAGAGUUACGUUGGAUGGAGCAGAUAAAUAUGUAAGUUUAGCCAUUUGCAUGGUGUGGGAGCAACUCCUCCCGCUUACUCUGCUCGCUCAUUGGACUGAAGGGAGCUCCCGUUGAAUCACUAGUGUGUGACAUUUCAGCAUCCCGUUUCACACUAUUGGAUUUAAGUUAUUUGUUAUUUUCUCCUUUCACUUUGUUUCUUUUAACAUGACAAGGCAAACGAUUGAAGAUCAUAUAUACAUGUUUUAUUUUUCUCACUUUUGUGUUUAGGUAUAGCCGAAAAGAAAAAGAAGAUCAUGGAUUGCAGCUAAAGGUCAAAGGAAUGUUGUUUCUCUAGGUAGAACUUAGAAGCUCUGAAAGCUUUUAAGGCUGCUCACAAGAGUCAGAAGAAGUUGCUGUUUUAUGGUUUUAUCCGCCCACUGAAAUUAAAGCCCGAAGGUAUGAAGAAGCAGCGUCCGUGCUGUUUUUAGUUUUUACCGUAACGUGCCAUGCAUAUAUGCAUUCAUGGGGACGAGGGGCUUAGCUCACCAAUCGGCUGAUGCCUCCAAGGCUCCAACGAAUGACAUGCAGUCAUCAACUCAUCAUGGUCUAAAAUGGUCAGAUACCAGAUUAUAACCCGAACUCUAAUGUGAUUAGUCUAAAGGAAAUGGCGUCUGAAUUCCAUAUUGGAUAUGUAAAUGUGGUCAGUUUUGAGUAUUGAUCAACACAGAUAGGCCUACACCCUCUGAUGACCUUA
Non-coding RNA from Nelumbo nucifera (sacred lotus), 892 nucleotides. Lineage: Eukaryota; Viridiplantae; Streptophyta; Magnoliopsida; Proteales; Nelumbonaceae. The record is from RefSeq and is a predicted model, not a curated record.